GACGAACGCUGGCGGCGUGCUUAACACAUGCAAGUCGAGCGGUAAGGCCCUUUCGGGGGUACGACGAGCGGCGAACGGGUGAGUAGCACGUGGGUGACCUGCCCUCAGCUCUGGGAUAAGCCUGGGAAACCGGGUCUAAUACUGGAUAUGACUCCAUGACGCAUGUUGUGGGGUGGAAAGCCUUGUGCGGCUGAGGAUGGGCCCGCGGCCUAUCAGCUUGUUGGUGGGGGGAUGGCCUACCAAGG
This 245-nucleotide ribosomal RNA is filed under the name uncultured bacterium. Its description in RNAcentral is "partial 16S ribosomal RNA". It matches the Rfam family "Bacterial small subunit ribosomal RNA", at positions 28 to 273 of the family's 1533-position model. The record is from RNAcentral.